UACGAAGGGUGCAAGCGUUACUCGGAAUUACUGGGCGUAAAGCGUGCGUAGGUGGUUUGUUAAGUCUGAUGUGAAAGCCCACAGCUCAACUGUGGAGGGUCAUUGGAAACUGGGGUGCUCGAGCGUGGGAGAGGAAAGCGGAAUUCCUGGUGUAGCGGUGAAAUGCGUAGAUAUCAGGAGGAACACCUGUGGUGUAGACAGCUUUCUGGACCAUUGCUGACGCUGAGACACGAAAGCGUGGGUAGCAAACAGG
This 253-nucleotide ribosomal RNA is filed under the name uncultured bacterium. Its description in RNAcentral is "partial 16S ribosomal RNA". It matches the Rfam family "Bacterial small subunit ribosomal RNA", at positions 524 to 776 of the family's 1533-position model. The record is from RNAcentral.